RNAcentral lists this ribosomal RNA (460 nucleotides) under uncultured bacterium. Its description in RNAcentral is "partial 16S ribosomal RNA". It matches the Rfam family "Bacterial small subunit ribosomal RNA", at positions 338 to 795 of the family's 1533-position model. The record is from RNAcentral.
CCUACGGGAGGCAGCAGUGAGGAAUAUUGGUCAAUGGCCGAGAGGCUGAACCAGCCAAGUCGCGUGAGGGAAGAAGGUUCUACGUAUUGUAAACCUCUUUUGUCAGGGAGCAAAGCGCGGGACGUGUCCCUCAUUGAAUGUACCCUAAGAAAAAGCAUCGGCUAACUCCGUGCCAGCAGCCGCGGUAAUACGGAGGAUGCGAGCGUUAUCCGGAUUUAUUGGGUUUAAAGGGUGCGUAGGCGGGCAUCUAAGUCAGCGGGGAAAGCCGGUGGCCUAACCAUGGAACUGCCGUUGAAACUGGCGGGCUUGAGUGGGUGAGAAGUAUGCGGAAUGCGUGGUGUAGCGGUGAAAUGCAUAGAUAUCACGCAGAACUCCGAUUGCGAAGGCAGCAUACCGGACCCUAACUGACGCUGAAGCACGAAAGCGUGGGUAUCGAACAGGAUUAGAUACCCCUGUAGUC